Molecule: ribosomal RNA, 253 nt
Filed under: uncultured bacterium
Lineage: Bacteria
Description: partial 16S ribosomal RNA
Rfam family: Bacterial small subunit ribosomal RNA
Source: RNAcentral
UACGAGAGGCCCAAACGUUAUUCGGAUUUACUGGGCUUAAAGAGUUCGUAGGCGGUGCAGAUAGUGGGGUGUGAAAGCCCUCGGCUCAACCGAGGAAUUGCGCUCCAAACUCCUGUACUCGAGGAAGCUAGAGGUGAGCAGAACUGAUGGUGGAGCGGUGAAAUGCGUUGAUAUCAUCAGGAAUACCGGAGGCGAAGGCGGCUCACUGGGGCUUUUCUGACGCUGAGGAACGAAAGCCAGGGUAGCGAACGGG